Molecule: ribosomal RNA, 434 nt
Filed under: uncultured eukaryote
Lineage: Eukaryota
Description: bacterial SSU rRNA
Rfam family: Eukaryotic small subunit ribosomal RNA
Source: RNAcentral
UUGAGUAAAUUAGAGUGUUCAAAGCAGCCUCUUGGGGGCUUUGAAUAGAUUUAGCAUGGGAUAAUAGAAUAGGAUUUGAUAAUCUAUUUGUUGGUUUGAAUUAAUCAAAUAAUGAUUAAUAGGGACAGUUGGGGGCAUUCAUAUUAAGUGGUUAGCGGUGAAAUGUGUGGACCCACUUAAGAUGAACUAAAGCGAAAGCAUUUGCCAAGGAUGUUUUCAUUAAUCAAGAACGAAAGUUAAGGGAUCGAAGACGAUUAGAUACCGUCGUAGUCUUGACUGUAAACUAUGCCGACCAGGGAUAUGAGUAGUAUAUUUCAAUUAAUUUCGGUUAAUUGAUACUUCUCCUUAUGCACCUUGUGAGAAAAUCAUAAGUUUUUGGGUUCUGGGGGAAGUAUGGUCGCAAGGCUGAAACUUAAAGGAAUUGACGGAGGGGC